RNAcentral lists this ribosomal RNA (1291 nucleotides) under Listeria monocytogenes. Its description in RNAcentral is "partial 23S ribosomal RNA". It matches the Rfam family "Bacterial large subunit ribosomal RNA", at positions 1 to 1292 of the family's 2925-position model. Lineage: Bacteria; Bacillati; Bacillota; Bacilli; Caryophanales; Listeriaceae. The record is from RNAcentral.
AGAUUAAGUUAUUAAGGGCGCACGGUGGAUGCCUUGGCACUAGAAGCCGAUGAAGGACGUUACUAACGACGAUAUGCUUUGGGGAGCUGUAAGUAAGCGUUGAUCCAGAGAUUUCCGAAUGGGGAAACCCAGCAUGAGUUAUGUCAUGUUAUCGAUAUGUGAAUACAUAGCAUAUCAGAAGGCAGACCCGGAGAACUGAAACAUCUUAGUACCCGGAGGAAGAGAAAGAAAAAUCGAUUCCCUGAGUAGCGGCGAGCGAAACGGGAAGAGCCCAAACCAACAAGCUUGCUUGUUGGGGUUGUAGGACACUCUAUACGGAGUUACAAAAGUAUAUAUUAGACGAAUCAUCUGGAAAGUUGAAUCAAAGAAGGUAAUAAUCCUGUAGUCGAAAAUAUAUACUCUCUUGAGUGGAUCCUGAGUACGACGGAGCACGUGAAAUUCCGUCGGAAUCUGGGAGGACCAUCUCCUAAGGCUAAAUACUCUCUAGUGACCGAUAGUGAACCAGUACCGUGAGGGAAAGGUGAAAAGUACCCCGGAAGGGGAGUGAAAGAGAACUUGAAACCGUGUGCUUACAAGUAGUCAGAGCCCGUUAAUGGGUGAUGGCGUGCCUUUUGUAGAAUGAACCGGCGAGUUACGAUUUGAUGCAAGGUUAAGCAGCUAAUGUGGAGCCGUAGCGAAAGCGAGUCUGAAUAGGGCGUUUAGUAUUUGGUCGUAGACCCGAAACCAGGUGAUCUACCCUUGGUCAGGUUGAAGUUCAGGUAACACUGAAUGGAGGACCGAACCGACUUACGUUGAAAAGUGAGCGGAUGAACUGAGGGUAGCGGAGAAAUUCCAAUCGAACUUGGAGAUAGCUGGUUCUCUCCGAAAUAGCUUUAGGGCUAGCCUCAAGUGAUGAUUAUUGGAGGUAGAGCACUGUUUGGACGAGGGGCCCUUCUCGGGUUACCGAAUUCAGACAAACUCCGAAUGCCAAUUAAUUUAACUUGGGAGUCAGAACAUGGGUGAUAAGGUCCGUGUUCGAAAGGGAAACAGCCCAGACCACCAGCUAAGGUCCCAAAAUAUAUGUUAAGUGGAAAAGGAUGUGGCGUUGCCCAGACAACUAGGAUGUUGGCUUAGAAGCAGCCAUCAUUUAAAGAGUGCGUAAUAGCUCACUAGUCGAGUGACACUGCGCCGAAAAUGUACCGGGGCUAAACAUAUUACCGAAGCUGUGGAUUGUCCGUAGGACAAUGGUAGGAGAGCGUUCUAAGGGCGUCGAAGCAUGAUCGCAAGGACAUGUGGAGCGCUUAGAAGUGAG